UGUUGUUUACUAUAAUGCCCUUGGUACCCUUCUUCUUCUUCCUUUCUUAAUCUUCCAUAGGUGCAGGUUUGUCAAAAUCAAAUGCUCUUCUGCUAUUUUUUUGUGAUUACUUCUUUACUUUUUAGUAGUUCAAAUUUCUAUCUUUUUUUUUCCAGAAGCAAUAUGGCUCCUAUUACAUUGUCUAUACUGUGGAGAUUCUUCCUUCUUGGUCUGUUGGGGUAUUGUACAAAUUUCUUCUCUGUUUUAUUGUUAUCAAAUUGGGGUCUUUUCGAUUAAAACAAAUAAAAUCAGAACUUUGCUUGUAAACUCUAUUGCAGAAUAUGUUUGCUGCAGGUCCUGGCCUAUACAGGUAUCAAAUACAGCUCUCCUACUCUGGCAGCUGCUUUAGGGAAUUUGAUGCCUGGUUUUACAUUUUUGCUUGCCAUCAUUUUCAGGUAUAGGACUGCCAAAUUGGGCUUAGCCAACUUCUACUUUUUGUUAGAUUCAGCUUGUUUGGAUGAUUGUUAUCUAUAGUAUUGUAUGCUGUUACUUUAAAUACAAUAUUUAUUUUGAUUGUUACUUUAAUUUUGUUGUAUCGUAUCGUUAAAUACAUCGUUAUGUAACGACGGAAAGUGUCACUUUAUAAAACGACGGAUUUGGUAUGGUGGCGUCGUUUCUUUGCUUUUUUCCUCUCAUCUUCCCUUUCUUUAUUAUUAAAUAAUUAUAUUUUAUUCUUUAUCCUACUUUUUUAUAUAAUAAUUCUAUUCUGUAUCCUAUUUUUUCUUAGUAAUGUUGCAAGUUUAUUCUUCAUAUUUUUAGUGCGUGAUAUCAUGAAACCAGGGGCGGAGCCAAAGUGUUGUUUGCGGGUUCGGCCGAACCCAGUAGUUUUUGUUCAAACCCUAUAUUUGUAUUAAGAAAUUCAAUGAAUAUGUACAAAUUAUUAAUUUAGAACCCAGUAACUUAAAAUGAUUAUAAUCUCGAACCCAUAAGGUUCAAAUCCUAGCUCCGCCUCUGCAUGAAACGACGGCAAACGAUACAAUCUAUCCAAACAUUGUCUUUAUCUAACAAUACAAUACAAUACAGUACAAUACAAUACGAUACAUUAUGAAACGACAUGUAACAACAAUCUAAACAUGAUGUUAAGUAACAUGCUCAUACAGUAUAAGGACUCUUAUAUUAUCAGUUAGCUUAACAUAUUGUAGUAGAAUAACUACCAUUUUUAUUAGGUAACCAAGUAAUGUUUGUCGUAGAAAUUUACCUAUAAUUAUUUUAUAAAUGACCAGGCUGUAUAAAUAUAUUUUAUACUGUUAGUGCAGUAAACUCACUUUUGUUUCUGAGUCAGAGUCCGCAGUUAGGUGUCUCCAGUACUUUUUUUUUUGGUUUCUUACCCGGUGUCCGCCUUGGCGUAACUCGUAAAGUUGUCAUGUGACCNNNNNNNNNNNNNNNNNNNNNNNNNUUCGAGCUGUGGAAACAGCCUCUUGCAAAAAUGCAGGGUAAGGCUGCAUACGAUAGACCCUUGUGGUCCGGCCCUUCCCCGGACUCCGCGCAUAGCGGGAGCUUAGUGCGCCAGGCUGCCCUUUACCCGGUGUCCGGUACUCGCAUUGGAGCAUGACUAUAUCUGGAUUCGCACUGCGUAGGACCCCAUUGGGGGGAAGUGCUCCCUGCCAAGAUUUUUCCAUACCCAAGGCUCGAACCCGAGACCUCUGGUUAAGGGAAGAGCAGCCCCAUCCGCUGCACCACAUGGUGUUUCCAGUACCCAAGUUAUUUUCUCAAGGCAUAUGCAAAAAGUUGUUAUCUUCUGAUUUAAACACAUAUCUUUUGAUAGUGCUGCAAAACCACUAGCUUCUGCCACUAAAUAGCCUGGUCUUUUGGACCAUGAGCUUUUUUCCCUCUAAAAUAGUUGAAUAGUAGAAGUGAUACUAUGCAAGAUUGCAAGUUUUUAGUUGUAUCUAGUGGUUCACAUGUUCAGAAUUUCUCAAGGUUUUUGCAAAAUUUUCAGGAUGGAGAAGUUAGAUAUAAGAAAGGCUAGCAGUCAAGCAAAAUCUCUUGGCACCAUAGUGGCAAUUAUUGGAGCAUCUAUCAUGACUCUAUACAAAGGGCCAAAACUACUUGGAUCAUCUACUUUACCUUCUCAUUCAUCUCAUCAUCACUCUUUACUUUCACAAGAAUCAAAUUGGCUACUGGGAGGUCUUCUCAUUACCAUCACCUGCAUCAUGUCUUCUGGAUGGAACAUUCUUCAGGUAAAACAUAUUACAUGUAAUUCAACAAUGAGAAUGAAUUUGAAGUUAAAAACCAUCUUCACAAUCUUUCAGAGUUAGCAGUGUGUUUCGUGUAUGUAGGACUUAUUUCAGUUAAUGAUAAUGCCGGUAGAACAUCGUGGAAACAACCUCUUGCAGAAAUGCAGGGUAAGACUGUGUAUAAUAGACCCUAGUGGUUUGGCCUUUUCCCCGAUACCGCGCAUAGCGGAAGCUUAGUGCACCGCGCUGCCCCUUUUUAUACUGCCUGUAGAACAUGUCAUAGUAGAGGAUGCUUCAAUCUGUUUCCAAUUCAUACCUCAUAAGUCAUAAAAAUUCAUUUUGCCUCUAGCAACCUUUUGGUAGGCUCGAUUCAUUUUACACUUACUAGAAUUUCACUUACUACUUAGUGCCUAAAUCCUUUAAUUGUAGACUGCUAAGUUGCUCCGACAUGGCAGUUUAGGUGUCGUACCCGUGUCGACACGACACUAGUAUGAGUGUGGGUAUGGGAUCCGUACCGGAUCUGGUCAAAUAAUUUUUGGUACUUUGACCGCGACGGCCGGAAAAAUUCGAGACGAGAUACAAUUUGAUUCUCCGAGGUUAAAUUUGAAGAAAACAACAUACCUUAUCUAUGAAAUCAAUCAUUUAUUUACCUACAACUUGAGAAUAAAAAAGAAAUCCACACUUUACAAGCUAUACAUAAGUAUUCGACAAAAUUUCUCAUAAUUUAGAUAUUUUUUUAUAUUUUUUGAAUUAUAUUUAGCCGGAUCCCCGCACCCGUAUCCGUACUAGGAUGAUAUCCCCGAAUCUUAGAAUUUACAUCUCGAAGGAUCCGACCUCUAGAUCCGCACCCGUGUCAAACACCCGCACCCGUGUCCAAGCAACGUAGGUAGACUGUCGUCAUCUCAACCAUUUUAACAUUACUGUGGCUGCUAAUUUGAUAUUGGUUUAUAGAUAAGCAGGUUUAUAUCUCAGAAUUAGGACAUUAUUACAAAUUCAUUUCAUGUUGUACUCGUUUAGACAGAUACGGUGAAGAAAUACCCUGAACAAAUGACAAUAGUGUUCUUCACUUGCUGCUUUGGGAGUAUUCAGUGUGCAAUUUUAACUCUGGUAUUAGAAAGAAAUCCAGAGGCAUGGAUGGUGAAGCCUGGGAUUGGAAUUAUAGCCAUUGUUUUCUCAGUAAGAAAUUUGAUGCUUCAUUUUCAGUUCUCUUCUGCACCUUGUUCUUUAACAGAUAUCUGAUUCUGUUUUCUUACACACUAGGCUGUAUCUGGAAGUGUGUUUCGUUACAACGUUUUGACAUGGUGCUUGGACAAGAAAGGUCCUCUUUAUGUAGCGAUGUUCAAGCCCUUGGGAAUGGUAAUUGCAGCAAUCUUGGGGAUCCUAUUUCUUGCCGAAUCACUCCAUUUAGGAAGGUAUAUAUAAAGCCAUUCUUUUCCUCAUGUUUACACAUGAUUGAUCAAUUAGCUUUGAGUUGCUUCUAGUUAUAUUACAAAAACUAGGUUGACAAACGGACACUACUAGUUUAGGCAUAACUACUAUUGCGAUUAAUACUACUACUAGUUUAGGUAUAGCUACUGCUACUGCUACUACUACUAGUACUACUUCUACUUCAACUGUCGCACCCUGCUCCCUGUAAUACUCUCUUUGUUUAAUGUUUAAGUUUUUCUUUUGCUGACCAUAAAAAAAGCUUGGGUUGCUUGCAAACAAAUUAAUGCAUCUGCAAUUCUCUUUUCCGCUGUAUUGUAAUUUAUAAUUACAUGACUCAUCUUCCUUCUGGUUUUGAAGUAUUAGUUUUUAAUGCACAUAUAUAAUUUCAUGAAGUAAAUUUUUUGUUACAAUGUGGUGGGCAGUGUUAUAGGAGCAGUUAUCAUAUCUGCUGGAUUUUAUUCUGUGCUGUGGGGAAAGGCCAAGGAGAUCAAGUCAAUGCUUGAGAUUGAGGACACUGUUUGUAUAAUUGACUCAUCAAGCCAAAGAAGCCCUUUAUUGCAAAAGUAAAUUUCAUUAAAAAAACACAUAAAAUAAAGUGUUACUUAUGGCCCUUUGACUAUGCUGCUCAGCCAUGUUAAUUAACACUACCCUUUCACAAGUAUUUGAAUGCAUUGGCGAGUGCUGCUUAAUUUCAGAUGAAGAUGAUAAAGGCUAGUGGAUGAGGCGUCAGAUAAACGAGACGCAAAUUAGCCACAAGUAGACCAGUACUACAUAGAAGAAAUGGAUUCAUGAUUUAAAUUUGAAGAAUUCAAUAUUUUUAUUUAUACGAUUGAACUCUGUAGAAUUUAAUAUUUAUAGAAAUUUUGGUUUUUCAAAUAUAUAUUUAUGCUCAAUGGAAAAUGUUAGGUUCAAUUGAACUCAUGUUGCAUCCGCCUCCACUUAAUAGGCGUAUGUGCCAAAACAUAUUGCAUCCAAAAACUCUUGAAGAAAGCAGAUAAUUAGCUUAAUUAAUACCAGCAAAUAUUUUUAACCUCCAAUAAAGAUUGUCUGUUUGCAUAAUUAUAUCAUUUGGUUAAACGUUGUUAGGGCAGAAAUUCGCUAUCCAGAAAUCUACCCCUUUCGAGGAGUGCAGCUUAAUUGAUUAGUCUACUUCCUGGAAUUCUGUCACUCUAUAAGUAUUAGGAGUAUUCAAGUGACAGAAAGUUAUUACUUUAUAAUUUAUAAGUGUUAGGAUAUCGACUCACAUGUGGACUUUUACCAGGCUAAACUGCAAAUGCUACUCUAUAAAAGAGAAAAAAAUACUUAUCUAUUCCGUGUUUACAGCAAAAUAGUAAACACUUUUUGUUUGUUGGAAAUAUUGAAUGAAGAUAAGUACUAUUCACCCGAUAAAACGGAGGACUAGUCUUCUUGUAGUAGUAACCUCCCCAUUGGCUUCGUUUAACGCCCUCAACAAAGUCGCAAGUUCUAGUAGACAACAUAUAAGGAAGAAAGAUUUGAUUAUUUGCUUAAGAUAAUAUUAUGAUAAUAUAUACCGCUGAAUUAAAGAUUUGAUUCGGUCAAAAGGGGUUGGUUAAAGCUAGAAUAUUAUUUACUUCAGAUACUUUUUUUCAGAAAGAAAAGAAAAAACAGACCGGUUAUUAAUGAUUUCAAAGAAGAGAGGGAAAAAGUGAUCAAUGGAGAAGGAGAACGAUGCAAAGUGAAAUAUACAUUCACCAUUCACUUGGGAAUUUAGAUAUUUAGGUGAAACACAUGUCAAAGCUGGAACAUAGAAGUUCUAUGUUUGAAUUUUAAGUCACACAUUAACAAAAAAAAAAUAAAAAAAAAUCACUUGUUUGGUUAAAAAAAAUCAAGCCUACACAUGAAAGAUUUUUAGAUCAUGAAUAAUACUCCUAUAAUUAAAAAAAAUCCAAUUUCUUAAAAUAUUUAAUUCUCUUAUCGCAUACUUUGAAGUGUUCUCUAGCGUACCUUUGAUCCGUAGAGCGAAAACCUUUCCACAUGCAACUUUCAAAUCAUUGUGGCUUAUACAAUUACACUUACAAGCAAAAUCUUAAUUUGACUUUGUGAGUUUAAUCUCCUUAUUCCUUAAUGCACUUUUGUUUCAAAACAAACAGAAGGGUUCAAUUUAGGAUCUUCGCUACUGCUUUUUUUUUCUUCCUUUUUUUUUUUUGAUAUAUGUUUCUUAUUUGGGAGUUGGGAUUUGGCAAGACCAUCAAAUUUCCAAUUUCGUUAGGCAUCUCUCUUUGGAUGAUUGGUUCGUUUAAUGACCCUUGCAUUAUUUAGCCGCUAAAAGUACCAAUAAUUGAAGGAAAAAGCGCAUUGUCUAAAUAGCAACUAUCAAAGUGUCAGCAUUCACCAUCUACAGUUGCAUGUCACUCCAACCUUCACUUGUUCUUUUCUCUUUUACGUGAUAGAAAGCCAAAAAUAUACAAUUUGUAGUGCUGGGCACAAUAUUUAUAUUAAGUCAAUAAAUAUAAAUUAGUAUUUCAUUCAUUUCAAUUUAUGUGAAUUUAUUUCUUUUUAGUCCGUGCCAAAUAGAAUGAUCUCUUUACUUACUUGGAAAUAAUUUACCUUUAUGCAAUGAUUUAUAGCUACACAAAAUAUAUGUGUCUCAUUUUACACCACAAGUUCAAAAGUCUUCUCUCUUUUCUUAAACUCCGUGCCCAGUCAUAUGAGUUCACAUAAAUUGAAACGGAGGGAAUACAACAUCAUACCUUAAUCAUGGUAAUGGAUGUGUAUUUUUAAUUAAUUUUUUAACCAUUAAGAUUAAAUUAUUUAAUUUAAUAUAAAUAUUAUGUGCGGGUAAAUUUUCUACCUAAAGGUAGAUUGCCCCUUGUCACAAAAAGGCAGAAUAGUCACACGCCUUUAUCACUCCCACAAGCAACUCUCAUUUCUUUUUGAGGAUAACUCCUACUUAGCGUGCCGAUCAAUCUAAUCUUUUUAUCUUCAAUUAGAUGCCAAUUACAUGCUGCUAUGCAACUUGGUGUCUAAAAUCAAUAUCCUUUCCUCAAAAUAUAUGUGAUCAAUUAUUAAAUCAAUCAAAGCCCAGAAGAAUUUUGCAAAAAUAAAAUUAUAUACGGUCAAAACCGAGUUUGCCUUUCGAGAUUGGAAUAUGGAUGAAGAUUCGUCAUCGUAAUAUCGAGCCAUGAUUCGAAGUUUGAUUGUCGAGUUCGAGACUCAAAGAUCGACCGAUACUGAGCUCGAGUCAAUAUCAAAGCUCGAGGUCCAGAGAUCGAUCAAUAUCGAGCUCGAGUUAAUAUCAAGGGUCGAGGGUAAAGAAAACGACCAAUACCGAUACCGGCCAAGACCGAGAUCGAGCCAAGAGACAAAGAGCCGUUAUAGCCGUACUAGGGAAGAGAAUCUCGGCGGAAAUCAAGGAAAAGCUAAUUAAUUAAUCUAUCAUGAGAUCCUUACUAUGUAUUUUUAAUUAUAUCCAAAGUAGGAUUCCUCCACUAUAUUAAGAGUGGCUAUCAUUUGUAGACACAUUCAUACUCUCACAUUCAGAGAUUAUUGAGAUUUACAGAACAUCUAGCAAAUAUUAUUUUUUUUGGGUUUUUGAUAUUGAUUCAUCUUAUUUAUUUAUCAAUCAUUCUCUACUCAAUUUGGGUUUGUAUUCAUUCUUUUUUACGGUAAAUAUUCGAUAUAUCUCUACUUAUUUUUCCAAUUUGUACCAAGUUAUACAACGUAUCUUUAGAACUACGUAUAAAUUCAACUUUAUCCGUUUUUCGGAUAAACAAAAAUAAAGUAAACAGAAGAUCCAAAUGGAUUUGUAGAAUAUUAAUUUAAUAAUUAACGAUGAUUAAAUUUGAAAACCAUUCGUUAGGCGCCGCGCUACUUGUAAAAAUACUGCUUCGAGAUAAACUAAAUAUGUUUCGAGAAGCCCCACGAAUGUCAAAAAAUAUUGUGGGGACGGGCUGGUCAUCCACAUUCAGGAGCUAGUGGAGAGAGAAGCCCCACUAAUGUCAAAUUUAAAGUCAUGAAUCUCUCGUAUUGACGUACUCUCCCUGAUAUAAAAUGGGAGAAAGGGAUUUUUCUUUUCUUUUUUUUUUUGCAAGGGAAGGAAAAUUGGGAUAUGGAAUCUUAAGACUUCCUGAAAAUCAAAGACAAACGAGAGUUUCUGUAGCUAGACUUUAAUUUUAAAAAAGUGUAUUCUAAUCGAGAUUCUCCGAAAAUAGAUUAAUAGAGUGUGUUAAGAGCCUACGAUUGAUAUAUUGAAAUCAAUCCUUAUUUAAGACGGGCUCACUUGUCAAACUGAUUUUUUUGAGUUUGGCAAUCAUAAAUGAUUAGCACUGUUGAUCUUGCCUUGUUUUAAUUACAAAUUGUAGUAAUUACGGAGCAUGUUUGAUUCGAAAAACUUUCGCAAGUUGAAACUUGAAAAUAUAGUAUGAUUUGGAAAAUUUCAAAAGAUUCUUGUUGAUAAAUAGGUCAUGGUUAGAAAAUGAGUUAUGCAACUUCUAAGAGGAGAGAAAAUGACAUUUGAGGUGGGACCUAAAGAAUAUAAAAAGAGAAUAAAGAUUACAACUUUCAAUAUAAUCUUAGCUACAAAAACAGUUACUUUAACUCUGGUCCCUAAACUGUUAGUGGAAACCAAUAUAUAUAUGCGUAUUAGACACACACACUCCUAUGAUUAAUUAUUUAUUUGCUACCAGAUUUUCAGGUAGAGCUCAUGUCCGCCACGCGUAGCGUUCGAUAAUUUUGGAAGCAAGACGUUGAAGUUUCGAGAGAGAAAAAAGAGAAGAAAAAAAUGGCAAGCAAUAAUGGAAGAAUUAGAGAAUCAACUUUUUACAAAGAAGUGGUACCAUUUGCAGCUAUGGUGUCUAUGGAAUGUAUAAAUGUUGGAUUAAACACACUUUACAAAGCUGCUACUAACAAAGGAAUGAGUAAUCAUGUCUUUGUUGUUUACAGUUAUGGUCUUGCUGCUGUUCUCCUUCUUCCUUCUCCCUUUUUCUCAACCAGGUUUCUUUUUUUUUACUCUCUGUUUUCUCAAGUUUUUGGCUCGGAUUUUGAUCAAUUGUUAUAUGUGUAAAUCUUAUCAAGAAUCUGAUAGGGGUUGAAAAUUGGAAAUAUCUGACUGCAGAUCAAGAGUACUUCCACCCCUCAACUGCUCAAUUCUUGCCAAAAUAUUUCUUCUUGGAGUUAUCGGGUACCUUUUGACUUUUUUCUUCUUCUUGUUUAUCACUCUUAAUCUGUCAAUCUGCAGAUAUACUAUAUGUCAAAAAGUUUUCUUCUUUUCCUGCAAAUUAGGAUGAUGAUCAGAUGUUCUUACUCUUAUUUAUGAGGAAAAAAUCUAUUGAAUUCAAUUAAAAGUCUGAUUCAGGGGUCUAACUACUGCUGAACUAAUUUAGAGACAUCAUACAGCCAACGCCAAUAGAGUCGAUUGAUUGGUUGACCAAUAUACUGUAAUUCUGUUUCAGGAAAUUUAUUCAGGAUAAGUUCAAUAAGAAUUCUUGUAAAUUUAAUCCUCUUCAUUAUUCAUGACAAACAAUUAACCCAAAUAGCUGCCCAUCUAAUUACUUAAAUUAAAGAUAACCGAUAAAGAUAAAAUAUAUGCAUAAUUUAUGUAUUAUAUGCGCAUAAUUAUAUAUAAUCAAUAUAUAAUCUAUAUAUAUUACUAAAAAAUAUAAAUAAUAAAUAUAACCAGCUAUUUGGGUAAAGUUAUUUUUAUAACUUUUUUUCAUUACACAGGGAUCUUAGAAGGGAAACGGGAGUGGGGCAUUUGCGCGAAUGGCCUUAGUGGGGCGUUUGCGUGAAUGACCAUUUUGAGGCCACUAUUUAAAUUCUUUCCUCUUCAGUGUGGUAGAUUAAAUUUAUCAAAAAAGAAAAAAUCCACCCAACUUUUAUAGGCGAAGUUUUGCUCAUUGUGCCAACAGUGUCAACAUAUAAAAAGUGAUAUCAGAAUUAGUCUAGAACAAAAUUUAUGGACAUGAUUUUGUUUUCUUGCUUUUCGAUAAUAUAUACGUAUUAUAUUAUCGAAAAUGCAGGUGUACAUCACAGAUAAUGGGGUAUACAGGAAUUAAUUAUAGCUCUCCUACGCUUGCCUCCGCCAUCAGCAAUCUCGUCCCUGCUUUCACUUUUGUCUUGGCUGUCACUUUCAGGUUUUUGCUUCCUCUUCUUUUUUAUCUCAUGUCCUUUAUUUUCAGUCGUUUUCCUUGCUUUUUUUGCGAUCCCCACUAUAAUGACACUAGUGUUGUGUUCUCUUUCCUAUUUGUCAAGUGGUCAACAACUUUGUCAGCAUCCAUCAAUUUGUCCCAACCAAAAAAAAUUAGUUAAACUCGACCAGGGUUACAGAUAUCUAACUUUUAGACUAAAGAUUGCAGCUUUAUUUUGUACUUAACUCAAAAUUUUAUGGCACCGUCCAACCACAAAGAAAAUUAGAUGAAAUGGGUUUGGGGUUGUCUUAGAAGAUUCAUGAAAUCUAAUCAGGGAGAAACUUGUACUGAAGCAUAGAAUGAUUUUCAAUUCACAAAAAUAAGUAAAGAAAGGGCAAAUUGAUGAAGUUAAGUUGUUUUAACAUGGCAAAGAAUUUCCUCAGCUUUCUGUUUUUUAUUGUUUAGUAGAAUAAAUUUGAUGCAGUGGAAGUGUUAAUAAACAGGAUGGAAAAGAUAGAAUUAAAAAGAUCAAGCACUCGAGCCAAAGUCUUGGGCACAGUGGUUUCCAUCGCUGGAGCUUUCGUAGUGACUCUCUACAAAGGCCCAAAAUUAUUAGUGGCGAUCACGUCCACGCCCAAAAUCCUUAGCCAAUCUCUCAGAUCAUCCCAAUCGAAUUGGAUGCUUGGCGGCCUUUUCCUCACAACUGAAUAUUUUUUGGUUCCUAUGUGGUACAUUGUUCAGGUGAAAUGCAGACUUAGUUCUUGAAUAGAGAGCUACCCUUUUGCAACAAAACGAAAUAACUGAAUUUGAGUCAUUUAAUUUGAUGACAGACAUGGAUUAUGAAAGAGUAUCCAGCUGAAGUGACUGUAGUUUUCUUCUACAACUUGUGUGUGAGCUGCCUAGCUGCUAUUGUAGGAUUUUUCACUGAACCAGAUUCCAACAAAUGGCGAAUUAAACCAGAUAUUGCACUGGUCUCCAUCCUAUGCUCUGUAAGUGAAUUGAGAAGUAGGUUUGAUAGUACAUCUUUGUUAUAUAUAUAUAUCAGGCAAUGCAUUCUCCAGCAAAUCUAAAUCAAUGCAAUUGGAUGUCCAAUUCGGGCAUAUAUGACGUGGCCAAUCAUUUGAUGUGAAAAGCCUACCACUACGCUUUCCCAAGACUACCAAGUUGUUGUCUUUUAGCCGUCCAUGUAUAGAGAUGGCAAAUACAUGGGUCGGGUCAAAUUUGGACAAGUUAAAACAAACCGGCAACGGAAACUUAUCAAAGUUGGAUCAAAACGAAUAAGGUCAAGAUGAGUAAAAUAACGGGUCAUAACUUAAUCUGUCAAACAUGACCCUACUUCUCUUUUUAACUUGUUUUUAGCUUUUAACAAAAUUGUGAAAGUCAAUGUAUUUUUUCAUAUAUUAUUAGCUUAAAUUCUUCCAAAUUUACAUAGUCUACAGUCUCCAAAUUUGCUUUUGUGUUUUUGGGUUUUGGUUGAAUUUUGACUCGUCAAGUUACACUAUUUUGAUCCAACAGUUUGAUGUGUCCUUUUGAAUUGAACUCGUUGAGUCAAGUCAACAAUCGGCUCAUAACGCAACCCGCUUGGAAUUGGACCGAUUAUUAACAUAUGAGUUGAUUUUGCUAGCUCCUUUCUUGUAUGACAAAAAAUUGUGUGCUGCAUUACACAGGGAAUUUUGGGCUCAUCACUAAACAAUACAAUUCACACCUGGGCUUUGCGCGUCAAAGGACCAGUCUAUGUAGCAAUGUUCAAGCCACUGUCCAUUGCCAUUGCAGUUGCCAUGGGAGUCAUUAUCCUAGGAGAUACUCUUUAUUUGGGAAGGUACUAACUCCUCAAGUGCUCAUUUUUUGCACAAUAAAUAUUUCCUAUACUCAACACAUUUAUUUUCUUUCAUAAUUUAUGUCAUCGUCGAUCUAAUCCACAACUUUCUGCUUUGACAAUCAGCGUUCUGGGAGCGACUGUAAUUGCCAUUGGAUUCUAUACUGUAAUGUGGGGAAAGGCAAAAGAAAUGCCUGAAUACGAUGAUUCUAGUGAUCUUGAGUCUUCUUCAGCUCAAAAGUUCCCCUUGUUACACAAUUACAAAAAUGAAGGCAUCUCAAACAAGUAAACAUGUUAGAUAAACUCAUCAAGCAGAAAGGCAAGUCACACAAAAAGCGCGCUGUUUCUGCAAAGCAAGAAAGAAGCUAUUUUCUAUACACAAGGGUAGCAGUUUUAUAGGAAGAAACAAAAGGCUGCUAUUGGGAGAAGCCGAGCAGCAAACUGUUGGCAUAUAUCCUUGUUUUGUACAGCUCUUUUGAAACAACAUGCUCAACUUGUAUCUCAGGAAUGAACUAAAGCCUAUUCUAGUGAACAAAAAUGUAUCAGGUAUAUAAUCAAGGCAUUGCUAAUUAAUCAAAAUUAAGCAGGAUGUGUGCAUCCUUUCUGUACUUCAACAGGCUCGAAUGUACUUCUUUAUUCUAAGAAAGAUUGUUAAACCAUAAUGAUUCUGCUUAUAUUCUAUAAUUCAUU
RNAcentral lists this long non-coding RNA (12236 nucleotides) under Nicotiana tabacum (common tobacco). RNAcentral describes it as "long non-coding RNA (NTAB_LNC016837)". The record is from RNAcentral. Lineage: Eukaryota; Viridiplantae; Streptophyta; Magnoliopsida; Solanales; Solanaceae.